AUUGAACGCUGGCGGCAGGCCUAACACAUGCAAGUCGAGCGGAUGAAGGGAGCUUGCUCCUGGAUUCAGCGGCGGACGGGUGAGUAAUGCCUAGGAAUCUGCCUGGUAGUGGGGGAUAACGUCCGGAAACGGGCGCUAAUACCGCAUACGUCCUGAGGGAGAAAGUGGGGGAUCUUCGGACCUCACGCUAUCAGAUGAGCCUAGGUCGGAUUAGCUAGUUGGUGGGGUAAAGGCCUACCAAGGCGACGAUCCGUAACUGGUCUGAGAGGAUGAUCAGUCACACUGGAACUGAGACGCGGUCCAGACUCCUACGGGAGGCAGCAGUGGGGAAUAUUGGACAAUGGGCGAAAGCCUGAUCCAGCCAUGCCGCGUGUGUGAAGAAGGUCUUCGGAUUGUAAAGCACUUUAAGUUGGGAGGAAGGGCAGUAAGUUAAUACCUUGCUGUUUCGACGUUACCAACAGAAUAAGCACCGGCUAACUUCGUG
RNAcentral lists this ribosomal RNA (484 nucleotides) under uncultured bacterium. Its description in RNAcentral is "partial 16S ribosomal RNA". It matches the Rfam family "Bacterial small subunit ribosomal RNA", at positions 30 to 507 of the family's 1533-position model. The record is from RNAcentral.